GCCCCUAUAGCUCAGUGGUUAGAGCACUGGUCUCGUAAACCAGGGGUCGUGAGUUCGUCUCUCAUGGGGGCA
This 72-nucleotide transfer RNA is filed under the name Mytilus galloprovincialis (Mediterranean mussel). It matches the Rfam family "tRNA". Rfam says of the family: Transfer RNA (tRNA) molecules are approximately 80 nucleotides in length. Their secondary structure includes four short double-helical elements and three loops (D, anti-codon, and T loops). Further hydrogen bonds mediate the characteristic L-shaped molecular structure. tRNAs have two regions of fundamental functional importance: the anti-codon, which is responsible for specific mRNA codon recognition, and the 3' end, to which the tRNAs corresponding amino acid is attached (by aminoacyl-tRNA synthetases). tRNAs cope with the degeneracy of the genetic code in two manners: having more than one tRNA (with a specific anti-codon) for a particular amino acid; and 'wobble' base-pairing, i.e. permitting non-standard base-pairing at the 3rd anti-codon position. The record is from Rfam by way of RNAcentral. Lineage: Eukaryota; Metazoa; Mollusca; Bivalvia; Mytilida; Mytilidae.